RNAcentral lists this long non-coding RNA (1202 nucleotides) under Oreochromis niloticus (Nile tilapia). RNAcentral describes it as "lncRNA (ENSONIG00000042154.1)". The record is from RNAcentral. Lineage: Eukaryota; Metazoa; Chordata; Actinopteri; Cichliformes; Cichlidae.
GUUCAAUUCCACCAUCAGGUGGAACGUAAGGAGUUUGCAUGUUCUCCCUGUGCUUGUGUGGGUUCUCUCUGUGUAUUAUGGCUUCCUCCCACAGUCCAAAAACAUGCAUUUAGUGGGGAUAGGUUAAUUGGUAACUAUAAAUUGCCCAUAGGUCUGAAUGUGAGUGCAAAUGAUUGUCUGUGUCUAUGUGUUAGCCCUGCGACAGACUGGGAUAGGCUCCAGCCCGCCCACGACGCUGAAAAGGAUAAAAGGAAGAGAAUGGAUGGAUGGAUGGAUGGUUUAUGUAUUACGAUGCAGCUCACAUAUAUUACACCUGUCUUUACCCUUGGUCUAAAAAAAAUCCACGCAGCAAGCAGGUCCAGGAUUCAAAUCAUUUUUAAAAAGUUUGCAUCCUUGCCUUGGGUUUGAGUUGGUUCUUGUAGUCGUCCAGAAUCCUCCCUGAAUCCCAGCGCCACUGGAUUUGGUUAAUUGGUGGAUCUAAAUUGGCCAUAGAAUGUGAGUGUGAAUGGCUGUCUGUCUGUGUGUUAGCCAUAUAACAGGUUGGUAGCAUGAUAUAAACAUUUUACUUAUAUGUAUAUGCCAUAUAUGCCAUAUGUAAAUACAGCAAAGUAAAACAUCUCUUUGGCCUUUAAAUCAGGUUUAUAGCUUCUAUUAAAAUUCUGUGUGCAUACAUGACAUGUACUUUAUAUUUCACCAAUGCAUUUGUUGCCUAAAAGUCCAGAUGGCAACUUGAUGAGGUAAAGCAGCACUAUAUGGGACUGCAUUGAAACCACUUGAGUAGGUCAUAUGUGCGGUUCAAUAUGCGCGGUUGCAAUCCUCUUAGGCUCAGGUCCAAGUUGACAUACAUCUGGAGCAAUCUAAUGAAAUGUGUUUCGUCUUUAAUGCUCUCAUUGUAAAAUGAAGGAAGGAUGACUUUGCACUAGCAUCCAUACUAACUUAAGGAUUAACAGAUCCCUUAAUUUGGAGCAAGAAGUAGGAAAUGAAAGCCACUGUCUACAGGACGAAAGAGACUGAAACUAAAAUGACUGCAACCGUGCAGGCAAAUAAUUCAGUUCAAUGUAACUGCCAGCUCUGAUUUCUUGGCUUUUAAUCAGAGGUCAGACAUCUGGCCUCGAGGCUUUCAUGUAAUUACUCUGCUUAUCUAAAAUGGACAAUAGCAUCAAAUCUAUAAAUUUGAUCAAAUCCACAGUGAUUAACUAAAC